AGGAAUUAAGGAUAAGUUGUCUAGAUCUGAACUACCACAUACUCUUGAGGCUUUAAUGUCACUUAGCAUAACUAUAGACAGAAGACUGAGAGAGAGACAGCAGGAGAGAUCAUUUCAUGAAUAUCCUGCAAAGAAACAAAAUACACCCAGCCCCAGCAAAUCAACUGCUGAACCUAUGGAUAUAGGUUUUAUAAAGGGACCAUUAACCCUGAGGAGAAGAUCCGACGAAGGGCUAAUAACCUCUGCUUAUACUGUGCUUCAGACAAACACACUGUCAGGGACUGUCCUUCCCUCCUGAAACAAAACAAGGUGGGAGUCACAUCGAAUCAACGCUCCCGCGAUUAUUGACUCAGGAGCUACAGCCUCCUACAUAGAUACUGUAUUCACUAAAUUCAAUAAAAUUCCACUUGUGCAAAAAA
Molecule: long non-coding RNA, 419 nt
Organism: Bombina bombina (fire-bellied toad)
Lineage: Eukaryota; Metazoa; Chordata; Amphibia; Anura; Bombinatoridae
Exons: 2
Source: RefSeq, a predicted model, not a curated record